Molecule: unclassified non-coding RNA, 256 nt
Filed under: Hevea brasiliensis (rubber tree)
Lineage: Eukaryota; Viridiplantae; Streptophyta; Magnoliopsida; Malpighiales; Euphorbiaceae
Source: RNAcentral
UUGGACCAAAAUGUCCAAAUUUUAUGAUUGGAGUUGGAAUGACAGCCUUCCAUCCCAAGUUGUCUCAUAUAAGUCAUGAUUUGAUCACUUCUCACAAAUGGUUCUUGUAAGCAGAUGAAAGAUAAGUUGUAUUGAGCUUUGAUAGUUUUAAGCCUUUCGAAGGUACAUUGAGUGUUGACACUCCUUAUGUUCCAUGACAGAGCUUUAAUCAUUGGAAACAUUAAGGUUUGUACCUUUGCAUAUCCCUUUGUUAGAG